GGGUUGUGAGGUUAAGCGACUAAGCGUACACGGUGGAUGCCCUGGCAGUCAGAGGCGAUGAAGGACGUGCUAAUCUGCGAUAAGCGCCGGUAAGGUGAUAUGAACCGUUAUAACCGGCGAUUUCCGAAUGGGGAAACCCAGUGUGACUCGUCACACUAUCAUUAACUGAAUCCAUAGGUUAAUGAGGCGAACCGGGGGAACUGAAACAUCUAAGUACCCCGAGGAAAAGAAAUCAACCGAGAUUCCCCCAGUAGCGGCGAGCGAACGGGGAGGAGCCCAGAGCCUGAAUCAGCAUGUGUGUUAGUGGAAGCGUCUGGAAAGGCGCGCGAUACAGGGUGACAGCCCCGUACACAAAAGCGCAUGUGCUGUGAGCUCGAUGAGUAGGGCGGGACACGUGGUAUCCUGUCUGAAUAUGGGGGGACCAUCCUCCAAGGCUAAAUACUCCUGACUGACCGAUAGUGAACCAGUACCGUGAGGGAAAGGCGAAAAGAACCCCGGCGAGGGGAGUGAAAAAGAACCUGAAACCGUGUACGUACAAGCAGUGGGAGCACCCUUCGGGGUGUGACUGCGUACCUUUUGUAUAAUGGGUCAGCGACUUAUAUUCUGUAGCAAGGUUAACCGUAUAGGGGAGCCGGAGGGAAACCGAGUCUUAAUUGGGCGUUAAGUUGCAGGGUAUAGACCCGAAACCCGGUGAU
Molecule: ribosomal RNA, 695 nt
Filed under: Salmonella enterica subsp. enterica serovar Typhimurium
Lineage: Bacteria; Pseudomonadati; Pseudomonadota; Gammaproteobacteria; Enterobacterales; Enterobacteriaceae
Description: partial 23S ribosomal RNA
Rfam family: Bacterial large subunit ribosomal RNA
Source: RNAcentral